Molecule: long non-coding RNA, 2652 nt
Organism: Mustela lutreola (European mink)
Lineage: Eukaryota; Metazoa; Chordata; Mammalia; Carnivora; Mustelidae
Exons: 2
Source: RefSeq, a predicted model, not a curated record
CUGUCCUCCUGAUACGGAAACCCGCUCAGGGUCUCUUCGGCCCCUGCCCUCGGAAAACAGGAACCCGCAAGUAUUCCGCGCCCGGAAAAUUCUUCAUAGUCAUCCGUGUCAAUAAAUAGGUUCUUUUUGUUUAAAAAGAGUGACGUAAUGCAUUUAGAAAGUUAUUUCUGGCAAACAGGAAGGCUCCAGCGUGGAAGACUGUGGACUUUGAUUAGGGACGAUGGCGCUUUGAACGCAGCGGGCGGGCGCCCAGCGGAGACUCUCCCGGGCGGGGACAGGCCAGCAAGGUAAACACACACGCCGGGCUGGCGUUUCCAGCUGGUCCCGGAUGGGGAGGGGUGUCAGGGCAGCCGACCCCGGGGAGGCCCAGGAUCCCCAGGGGUUGCCGUGCGGAGCCCGAGGGGACAGCAGGACAUGCAGCCCAGCAGGCGCCCGGAGAGUGGGUUGAUGUCUUCGGAGGGAGGUCAGGGUGAGGCGAGAAUCUGGAAAUCAGGAAGCACCACACGGGAUCCAGGAAUGUGCUGGGGACAUGUGUAUGGAAAUGACAGAACUCCCACUUGGAAGAGCCGGAAGUGAACCAGAAGUAAGCGUCGCGAUCACAAAGAAACGUUUGAAAAUCCACGAUCCUCAGUCCAGCACUAAUACAGACACGUGGAAAGCGAACCGUGGGAACAAAUAAAUGGUCGUUGAGGUUCUAGAGGUUUCUCUGUCGCCCCUCCAGGCCCGUGGCCGGCCUCCUGCUCACCCUCCUCCCAAGGUCAGCGUCCGCACCCGCCUCUGCACUGGAAAGGACGCGGGGACAAAGAUGAGCAGGGCAUUUGGGCAGGCGCCUUGGCCUUUGCCCCUCACUGGUUCCUGACGGGUGAGGACCCGGGGUCCCCAGGCCACCCCGACUUCUGCCUCCCCUGUCCUCGCCUGCUCCCUGCCCCGGUCACCCCCCUGUGCCUCUCCCCUGUGUUCAUAACCUGCCUAUAAAAAUACUCCUGGCAGGCCCUACAUGUCGAAAGGCACCAACGUAACAGCAGACAGGCUGGCCACACAGCAAGUCGCUGGCACCGGCCGCUCCCGGGGGGCAGGUCACCCCACAGGUAAGGAGCGCCCACACCUUCCUUCGCGGGGAGUCCAGGAUACGCAGGCCUCCCCAGCAUGACAGGCGAGAGAAAAUGAUGGUCCUUCUCGGUCUGAUCCUACUCUCUGUGUCCCAGGUCUCUAGACUAGAGGAACUCCCCAACAUUUUCCCCAUUUUUGUAAUUUUUUUAGCAGCCAUAUUGUGAGGCUGGAAGAAUGCUUUCUUCUCCCGGGAUCAGGGCUGCUUCGUCUCACCCUGUCUGAGGUGUGCCUGUGGGGCCGGCUUUCUCAGCUCUCUGUAGGCCCACGAAGGUCUCAUCUGUUCCCUGAGCUACACUUGCCUCUUCUGGGGCCGGCAUUGGUUUGCUUCUCUCCGGAAGGGGAAGAAGCUGCCGUGGUCCUAACAGAAAGACGGGCACACCCUAGCUUCGCCUCGGGAAGGGACCUGCCACACUCGCGUCCUCUCCCUGGGCUCUUGGAACAGGCCUCCUCUGGGCUCUCUUGUAACCGCCAUGGACUCGUCUUCUGACGAGCGACUCCAUCUCCGUCAUUUUGCUCCCGGAUCCCUCAGCAGCUCCUUGCUCCCCGUCACGUGCUCUAAUUCCUCCCUCCACCAGCCCACAGGGAGCCAACGUCUCGGAUGCCCUCCCGUGACAGCUUCCAUCUCGGAGCUCUGCAGUGAUCUGCUUCCUGCCUCGGCGGCGCUCAGCGUUCUGCCGUGGGGACCCCGCUCGGAAUAUCUGCACCUGUAGACUCUUCCAGAUUCAAAUCAUCUCCUGCGAUCUAUGCCCCUGUACGUAGCUGCACAUUAAAGAGCCUCAUCAUUACGAUGGAACGACUGCUCUGGGGGUCUGCCCUGUGUGGCUUGUCCGCGGCUGUGGUGCCUGGAACUCGGGGAAGGGUUUGUCCAUCACCCGGCACAGGAGAAACACAUGCUCGAGAGCUGCUCUUCCUUCAACCUUGCCUUCCUGACCUUGGGGAGAACCUCUCGCUACAAAUGUCCUCGGAUCCACCAAGCUCAGGUGGAUUUCCACACGGUUGCCGGCGUACUUGGAGGACGGGUAGCCCAGCACGGAAACCACCUCCCGAUAUGGCCACAGCUUGGCCCCCGUGCCAUUGCCCUCCAGGAGCCCAACAUGAGGUCAAGGCCAUGCGGGUAGGGCUAGUUUUCCCACGUGGUGCUGAGACGGAGAACAACAAAGCAGGACACAGAAGGAGAUACAGGGUCUCACCAUGGAAGAAAGUAACAAGCUUGUUUGUACGGAUUUUACCAACCACAAGUCGGUGUUGAUGCUGCCCAAUUUUUACUCUUUGAAAGGAAGGCAGAUAUUUUUGGACGACACUAUCAUGAUCAGAAUUUCCCUCAAAAUAAUCUGGAAUUGGGGUGAAGAGCAGGGCUGGGGGUUGACGCAUAAGUAACGAGACUGGCCUUUACUUAAUCAUUUUGAAGUUAUGUGUGUGUGACAGAUCCACAGAAAUUUAUUAUUCUCUUCUGAUCUGUAUAUCCUCACAAAUUUUACAAUAAAACUCAUUUUCUAAGAAGGGAUUUAGCCUCUCAAGCAAAUAAAGGAGUGUGGCUGUAGA